GGCUCCAUAGUGUAGUGGUUAGCACAUCUGCUUUACACACAGAAGGUCCUGGGUUCAUACCCCAGGUGGGGCCA
Pteropus alecto (black flying fox) is the source of this 74-nucleotide non-coding RNA. NCBI's taxonomy places the organism in Eukaryota, Metazoa, Chordata, Mammalia, Chiroptera, Pteropodidae. The record is from Rfam.